CCACCCAGCCUUUGGAAAAUUAUUCAAUAUGUAUUUUUUUUUCUUUUAGGGGAUACUGAGGAUUGAAUCCAGUGUUUGGGUAUCCGAGGCAAACCGUUUUCCUCUGAACUAGAGUGGUACCUUGGUUUAUGAACUUGAUUUGUUUUACAAUUUGGGGGAAGAUGGCUGCAUUUAUGUUUGUGUGAGGAAGAUGACCAAGGUCAUGUUUGUCGCCAGCACAGAGUUUUCCAGUGAAAGCAAAAGUAUGCUCAGUGCUUUUGUUUGCAAACCAAAUUGUUUGCAGACAGAAGUGUUCAUGAAUGGAGAUGGAAUCAGUCGUGACAUCAUCAGUGGAACUUCUAGCAGAAUGAAGGAAAAUUAGGGGACCUCCUCCUCCUCUGAGUCUUCACAUCUUAACUCUGGUUGCAAAUUACAAUCACCUGGAGAGAUUUAAAACUACACAGAUUUCAGGGCUCUGCCCUAGACCAAUUAAAUAAAAAAAUCUGGAUGUGGAUGUGGAGC
This 501-nucleotide long non-coding RNA is filed under the name Fukomys damarensis (Damara mole-rat). RNAcentral's name for it is "lncRNA (ENSFDAG00000023168.1)". Lineage: Eukaryota; Metazoa; Chordata; Mammalia; Rodentia; Bathyergidae. The record is from RNAcentral.